CCUACGGGAGGCAGCAGUGGGGAAUAUUGGACAAUGGGGGGAACCCUGAUCCAGCGACGCCGCGUGAGUGAAGAAGUAUUUCGGUAUGUAAAGCUCUAUCAGCAGGGAAGAAAGAAAUGACGGUACCUGACUAAGAAGCCCCGGCUAACUACGUGCCAGCAGCCGCGGUAAUACGUAGGGGGCAAGCGUUAUCCGGAUUUACUGGGUGUAAAGGGAGCGUAGACGGCGAUGCAAGUCUGAAGUGAAAGGCGGGGGCACAACCCCCGGACUGCUUUGGAAACUGUAUGGCUGGAGUGCAGGAGAGGUAAGUGGAAUGCCUAGUGUAGCGGUGAAAUGCGUAGAUAUUAGGAGGAACACCAGUGGCGAAGGCGGCUUACUGGACUGUAACUGACGUUGAGGCUCGAAAGCGUGGGGAGCAAACAGGAUUAGAUACCCCAGUAGUC
RNAcentral lists this ribosomal RNA (443 nucleotides) under uncultured bacterium. RNAcentral describes it as "partial 16S ribosomal RNA". It matches the Rfam family "Bacterial small subunit ribosomal RNA", at positions 338 to 795 of the family's 1533-position model. The record is from RNAcentral.